This is a long non-coding RNA of Octopus sinensis (East Asian common octopus), 144 nucleotides long. RefSeq lists it as uncharacterized. Lineage: Eukaryota; Metazoa; Mollusca; Cephalopoda; Octopoda; Octopodidae. The record is from RefSeq and is a predicted model, not a curated record. The transcript is spliced from 3 exons.
AAUCCUACAUACAUAUGAUUCACUCAGGGCUUUGGCCGACCCGAGGCUAUAUAAGACACUUUCCCAAGGUGACACGCAGUGGCAAUGAACCCAGAAUCAUAUGAUUGGGAAGCAAGCUUCUUACCACACAGCCACGCCUGCGCC